GGGUUGUGAGGUUAAGCGACUAAGCGUACACGGUGGAUGCCCUGGCAGUCAGAGGCGAUGAAGGACGUGCUAAUCUGCGAAAAGCGACGGCGAGGUGAUAUGAACCUUUGACCCGUCGAUGUCCGAAUGGGGAAACCCAGUGCAAUCCGUUGCACUAUCGUUAACUGAAUACAUAGGUUAACGAGGCGAACCGGGGGAACUGAAACAUCUAAGUACCCCGAGGAAAAGAAAUCAACCGAGAUUCCCCCAGUAGCGGCGAGCGAACGGGGAGCAGCCCGGAGUCUGAAUCAGCUUGUGUGUUAGUGGAAGCGUCUGGAAAGUCGCACGGUACAGGGUGACAGUCCCGUACACGAAAAUGCACAGGUUGUGAACUCGAAGAGUAGGGCGGGACACGUGGUAUCCUGUCUGAAUAUGGGGGGACCAUCCUCCAAGGCUAAAUACUCCUGACUGACCGAUAGUGAACCAGUACCGUGAGGGAAAGGCGAAAAGAACCCCGGCGAGGGGAGUGAAAAAGAACCUGAAACCGUGUACGUACAAGCAGUGGGAGCACCUUCGGGUGUGACUGCGUACCUUUUGUAUAAUGGGUCAGCGACUUAUAUUCUGUAGCAAGGUUAACCGUAUAGGGGAGCCGAAGGGAAACCGAGUCUUAACUGGGCGUUAAGUUGCAGGGUAUAGACCCGAAACCCGGUGAUCUAGCCAUGGGCAGGUUGAAGGUUGGGUAACACUAACUGGAGGACCGAACCGACUAAUGUUGAAAAAUUAGCGGAUGACCUGUGGCUGGGGGUGAAAGGCCAAUCAAACCGGGAGAUAGCUGGUUCUCCCCGAAAGCUAUUUAGGUAGCGCCUCGUGAACUCAUCUUCGGGGGUAGAGCACUGUUUCGGCUAGGGGGCCAUCCCGGCUUACCAACCCGAUGCAAACUACGAAUACCGAAGAAUGUUAUCACGGGAGACACACGGCGGGUGCUAACGUCCGUCGUGAAGAGGGAAACAACCCAGACCGCCAGCUAAGGUCCCAAAGUCAUGGUUAAGUGGGAAACGAUGUGGGAAGGCACAGACAGCCAGGAUGUUGGCUUAGAAGCAGCCAUCAUUUAAAGAAAGCGUAAUAGCUCACUGGUCGAGUCGGCCUGCGCGGAAGAUGUAACGGGGCUAAACCAUGCACCGAAGCUGCGGCAGCGACACUAUGUGUUGUUGGGUAGGGGAGCGUUCUGUAAGCCGUCGAAGGUGGCCUGUGAGGGUUGCUGGAGGUAUCAGAAGUGCGAAUGCUGACAUAAGUAACGAUAAAGCGGGUGAAAAGCCCGCUCGCCGGAAGACCAAGGGUUCCUGUCCAACGUUAAUCGGGGCAGGGUGAGUCGACCCCUAAGGCGAGGCCGAAAGGCGUAGUCGAUGGGAAACAGGUUAAUAUUCCUGUACUUGGUGUUACUGCGAAGGGGGGACGGAGAAGGCUAUGUCAGCCGGGCGACGGUUGUCCCGGUUUAAGCGUGUAGGUGUGUGUUCCAGGCAAAUCCGGUUCACUUUAACACUGAGGCGUGAUGACGAGGCACUACGGUGCUGAAGUGAUAAAUGCCCUGCUUCCAGGAAAAGCCUCUAAGCAUCAGGUAACACGAAAUCGUACCCCAAACCGACACAGGUGGUCAGGUAGAGAAUACCAAGGCGCUUGAGAGAACUCGGGUGAAGGAACUAGGCAAAAUGGUGCCGUAACUUCGGGAGAAGGCACGCUGAUAUGUAGGUGAAGUCCCUGCGGACGGAGCUGAAAUCAGUCGAAGAUACCAGCUGGCUGCAACUGUUUAUUAAAAACACAGCACUGUGCAAACACGAAAGUGGACGUAUACGGUGUGACGCCUGCCCGGUGCCGGAAGGUUAAUUGAUGGGGUUAGCGGCAACGCGAAGCUCUUGAUCGAAGCCCCGGUAAACGGCGGCCGUAACUAUAACGGUCCUAAGGUAGCGAAAUUCCUUGUCGGGUAAGUUCCGACCUGCACGAAUGGCGUAAUGAUGGCCAGGCUGUCUCCACCCGAGACUCAGUGAAAUUGAACUCGCUGUGAAGAUGCAGUGUACCCGCGGCAAGACGGAAAGACCCCGUGAACCUUUACUAUAGCUUGACACUGAACACUGGUCCUUGAUGUGUAGGAUAGGUGGGAGGCUUUGAAGCGUGGACGCCAGUCUGCGUGGAGCCAUCCUUGAAAUACCACCCUUUAAUGGCUGGUGUUCUAACGUGGACCCGUGAUCCGGGUUGCGGACAGUGUCUGGUGGGUAGUUUGACUGGGGCGGUCUCCUCCCAAAGAGUAACGGAGGAGCACGAAGGUUAGCUAAUCCUGGUCGGACAUCAGGAGGUUAGUGCAAUGGCAUAAGCUAGCUUGACUGCGAGAGUGACGGCUCGAGCAGGUGCGAAAGCAGGUCAUAGUGAUCCGGUGGUUCUGAAUGGAAGGGCCAUCGCUCAACGGAUAAAAGGUACUCCGGGGAUAACAGGCUGAUACCGCCCAAGAGUUCAUAUCGACGGCGGUGUUUGGCACCUCGAUGUCGGCUCAUCACAUCCUGGGGCUGAAGUAGGUCCCAAGGGUAUGGCUGUUCGCCAUUUAAAGUGGUACGCGAGCUGGGUUUAGAACGUCGUGAGACAGUUCGGUCCCUAUCUGCCGUGGGCGCUGGAGAAUUGAGGGGGGCUGCUCCUAGUACGAGAGGACCGGAGUGGACGCAUCACUGGUGUUCGGGUUGUCAUGCCAAUGGCACUGCCCGGUAGCUAAAUGCGGAAGAGAUAAGUGCUGAAAGCAUCUAAGCACGAAACUUGCCCCGAGAUGAGUUCUCCCUGAGACUUUAAGUCUCCUGAAGGAACGUUGAAGACGACGACGUUGAUAGGCCGGGUGUGUAAGCGCAGCGAUGCGUUGAGCUAACCGGUACUAAUGAACCGUGAGGCUUAACCUUACAACGCCGAAGCUGUU
This 2929-nucleotide ribosomal RNA is filed under the name Enterobacter bugandensis. Its description in RNAcentral is "23S ribosomal RNA". It matches the Rfam family "Bacterial large subunit ribosomal RNA". The record is from RNAcentral. Lineage: Bacteria; Pseudomonadati; Pseudomonadota; Gammaproteobacteria; Enterobacterales; Enterobacteriaceae.